This 497-nucleotide ribosomal RNA is filed under the name uncultured bacterium. Its description in RNAcentral is "partial 16S ribosomal RNA". It matches the Rfam family "Bacterial small subunit ribosomal RNA", at positions 28 to 507 of the family's 1533-position model. The record is from RNAcentral.
GAUGAACGCUGGCGGCGUGCCUAAUACAUGCAAGUCGAGCGAACGGACGAGAAGCUUGCUUCUCUGAUGUUAGCGGCGGACGGGUGAGUAACACGUGGAUAACCUACCUAUAAGACUGGGAUAACUUCGGGAAACCGGAGCUAAUACCGGAUGAUAUUUUGAACCGCAUGGUUCAAAAGUGAAAGACGGUCUUGCUGUCACUUAUAGAUGGAUCCGCGCUGCAUUAGCUAGUUGGUAAGGUAACGGCUUACCAAGGCAACGAUGCAUAGCCGACCUGAGAGGGUGAUCGGCCACACUGGAACUGAGACACGGUCCAGACUCCUACGGGAGGCAGCAGUAGGGAAUCUUCCGCAAUGGGCGAAAGCCUGACGGAGCAACGCCGCGUGAGUGAUGAAGGUCUUCGGAUCGUAAAACUCUGUUAUUAGGGAAGAACAUAUGUGUAAGUAACUGUGCACAUCUUGACGGUACCUAAUCAGAAAGCCACAGCUAACUACGUG